CCUUACGGCCAGGGCUACACACGUGCUACAAUGGUCGGUACAAAGGGUUGCCAAGCCGCGAGGUGGAGCUAAUCCCAUAAAACCGAUCGUAGUCCGGAUCGCAGUCUGCAACUCGACUGCGUGAAGUCGGAAUCGCUAGUAAUCGUGAAUCAGAACGUCACGGUGAAUACGUUCCCGGGCCUUGUACACACCGCCCGUCACACCAUGGGAGUGGGUUGCUCCAGAAGUAGCUAGUCUAACCGCAAGGGGGACGGUUACCACGGAGUGAUUCAUGACUGGGGUGAAGUCGUAACAAGGUAACCA
Molecule: ribosomal RNA, 303 nt
Filed under: uncultured bacterium
Lineage: Bacteria
Description: bacterial SSU rRNA
Rfam family: Bacterial small subunit ribosomal RNA
Source: RNAcentral